GUACACAAAAAUGCACAUACUGUGAGCUCGAUGAGUAGGGCGGGACACGUGGUAUCCUGUCUGAAUAUGGGGGGACCAUCCUCCAAGGCUAAAUACUCCUGACUGACCGAUAGUGAACCAGUACCGUGAGGGAAAGGCGAAAAGAACCCCGGCGAGGGGAGUGAAAAAGAACCUGAAACCGUGUACGUACAAGCAGUGGGAGCCUCUUAAUGGGGUGACUGCGUACCUUUUGUAUAAUGGGUCAGCGACUUAUAUUCUGUAGCAAGGUUAACCGAAUAGGGGAGCCGAAGGGAAACCGAGUCUUAACUGGGCGUUAAGUUGCAGGGUAUAGACCCGAAACCCGGUGAUCUAGCCAUGGGCAGGUUGAAGGUUGGGUAACACUAACUGGAGGACCGAACCGACUAAUGUUGAAAAAUUAGCGGAUGACUUGUGGCUGGGGGUGAAAGGCCAAUCAAACCGGGAGAUAGCUGGUUCUCCCCGAAAGCUAUUUAGGUAGCGCCUCGUGAAUUCAUCUCCGGGGGUAGAGCACUGUUUCGGCAAGGGGGUCAUCCCGACUUACCAACCCGAUGCAAACUGCGAAUACCGGAGAAUGUUAUCACGGGAGACACACGGCGGGUGCUAACGUCCGUCGUGAAGAGGGAAACAACCCAGACCGCCAGCUAAGGUCCCAAAGUCAUGGUUAAGUGGGAAACGA
RNAcentral lists this ribosomal RNA (694 nucleotides) under Escherichia coli. Its description in RNAcentral is "partial 23S ribosomal RNA". It matches the Rfam family "Bacterial large subunit ribosomal RNA", at positions 375 to 1073 of the family's 2925-position model. Lineage: Bacteria; Pseudomonadati; Pseudomonadota; Gammaproteobacteria; Enterobacterales; Enterobacteriaceae. The record is from RNAcentral.